RNAcentral lists this ribosomal RNA (253 nucleotides) under uncultured bacterium. RNAcentral's name for it is "partial 16S ribosomal RNA". It matches the Rfam family "Bacterial small subunit ribosomal RNA", at positions 524 to 776 of the family's 1533-position model. The record is from RNAcentral.
UACGGAGGAUCCAAGCGUUAUCCGGAUUUAUUGGGUUUAAAGGGUGCGUAGGCGGGUUAUUAAGUCAGUGGUGAAAGCUCCAUGCCUAACAUGGAAAUUGCCAUUGAUACUGAUGAUCUUGAGUACAUUUGAAGUGGGCGGAAUGUGUCAUGUAGCGGUGAAAUGCUUAGAUAUGACACAGAACACCGAUUGCGUAGGCAGCUCGCUAAACUGUAACUGACGCUGAGGCACGAAAGCGUGGGGAGCAAACAGG